GAUGAACGCUGGCGGCGUGCCUAAUACAUGCAAGUCGAGCGAACAGACGAGGAGCUUGCUCCUUCGACGUUAGCGGCGGACGGGUGAGUAACACGUAGGUAACCUACCUAUAAGACUGGGAUAACUUCGGGAAACCGGAGCUAAUACCGGAUAAUAUUUCGAACCGCAUGGUUCGAUAGUGAAAGAUGGCUUUGCUAUCACUUAUAGAUGGACCUGCGCCGUAUUAGCUAGUUGGUAAGGUAACGGCUUACCAAGGCAACGAUACGUAGCCGACCUGAGAGGGUGGUCGGCCACCCUGGAACUGAGACACGGUCCAGACGCCUACGGGAGGCAGCAGUAGGGAAUCUGCCGCAAAGGGCGAAAGCCUGACGGAGCAACGCCGCGUGAGUGAUGAAGGUCUUCGGAUCGUAAAACUCUGUUAUUAGGGAAGAACAAACGUGUAAGUAACUGUGCACGUCUUGACGGUACCUAAUCAGAAAGCCACGGCUAACUACGUG
Molecule: ribosomal RNA, 497 nt
Filed under: uncultured bacterium
Lineage: Bacteria
Description: partial 16S ribosomal RNA
Rfam family: Bacterial small subunit ribosomal RNA
Source: RNAcentral